Molecule: non-coding RNA, 316 nt
Organism: Paramuricea clavata
Lineage: Eukaryota; Metazoa; Cnidaria; Anthozoa; Malacalcyonacea; Plexauridae
Source: the annotation of a GenBank genome assembly
GUUUUUUCAGCGUUCGGACAGAAGGAUUUGAUAAAAUGAAAAUCUGUCUACUUAAAACAUGCUAUAGGACAUAAGAACUUAUCACACAAAAUUUGGAGCUGAUAACUAUUUUUGUUCUUGAGUUAUUCUUUCCGCAAACUCUUGUUCGUCUCGUGGUUUUUGGCCGUUACCAUGGCAACUAUUUAAUGUAGUUCACUCCAAGUGAUCGUAAAACUGUAUAUUCAUUAGAUCUUGCAUUUUGCCAAGUUUCAUGGUAAUUGGUUGCAUUGUUUAAAAAUUAGAGCCAAAUGAGUGUUUUAGGAAAUUUAGGAUAGAC